Molecule: ribosomal RNA, 765 nt
Filed under: uncultured Streptococcus sp.
Lineage: Bacteria; Bacillati; Bacillota; Bacilli; Lactobacillales; Streptococcaceae
Description: bacterial SSU rRNA
Rfam family: Bacterial small subunit ribosomal RNA
Source: RNAcentral
GACGAACGCUGGCGGCGUGCCUAAUACAUGCAAGUAGAACGCUGAAGCUUGGUGCUUGCACCGAGCGGAUGAGUUGCGAACGGGUGAGUAACGCGUAGGUAACCUGCCUGGUAGCGGGGGAUAACUAUUGGAAACGAUAGCUAAUACCGCAUAAAAUGGAUUAUCGCAUGAUAAUCCAUUGAAAGGUGCAAAUGCAUCACUACCAGAUGGACCUGCGUUGUAUUAGCUAGUUGGUGGGGUAACGGCUCACCAAGGCGACGAUACAUAGCCGACCUGGGAGGGUGAUCGGCCACACUGGGACUGAGACACGGCCCAGACUCCUACGGGAGGCAGCAGUAGGGAAUCUUCGGCAAUGGACGGAAGUCUGACCGAGCAACGCCGCGUGAGUGAAGAAGGUUUUCGGAUCGUAAAGCUCUGUUGUAAGAGAAGAACGAGUGUGAGAGUGGAAAGUUCACACUGUGACGGUAUCUUACCAGAAAGGGACGGCUAACUACGUGCCAGCAGCCGCGGUAAUACGUAGGUCCCGAGCGUUGUCCGGAUUUAUUGGGCGUAAAGCGAGCGCAGGCGGUUAGAUAAGUCUGAAGUUAAAGGCUGUGGCUUAACCAUAGUACGCUUUGGAAACUGUUUAACUUGAGUGCAAGAGGGGAGAGUGGAAUUCCAUGUGUAGCGGUGAAAUGCGUAGAUAUAUGGAGGAACACCGGUGGCGAAAGCGGCUCUCUGGCUUGUAACUGACGCUGAGGCUCGAAAGCGUGGGGAGCAAACAGG